Small nucleolar RNA from Acomys russatus (golden spiny mouse), 131 nucleotides. RefSeq annotates it as small nucleolar RNA SNORA17. The record is from RefSeq and is a predicted model, not a curated record. Lineage: Eukaryota; Metazoa; Chordata; Mammalia; Rodentia; Muridae. The transcript has a single exon.
UCUGACUCUAGAAGUGCUGUAGGUAUAGCUACUGUGUCACAUGGGUGUCAAUAGCUGUAGAGAGGAGAUAGGCUAUGUCCAUGCUCAGUGUUCCGAUAUAUGAGCACCUGAAUGAUUAGCACCCUAACAUU